AUGGCGACGAUAGUGAACACCACGGAGGAGGAGCCGAUGCUGGCGGUGGUGCGCUCCACCGCGCAGCUCGCCUGGGCCGACGCGGGCCCGGAGGUCGCCGACCCUGAGGUGGCCCGCCUCUGA
RNAcentral lists this ribosomal RNA (123 nucleotides) under Triticum aestivum (bread wheat). RNAcentral's name for it is "partial small subunit ribosomal RNA". Lineage: Eukaryota; Viridiplantae; Streptophyta; Magnoliopsida; Poales; Poaceae. The record is from RNAcentral.